CGGCGUGCUUAACACAUAGCAAGUCGAACGCGAAAGGGACUUCGGUCCUGAGUAAAGUGGCGCACGGGUGAGUAACGCGUAGAUAACCUGCUUUAUGUCUGGAAUAAUACGCCGAAAGGGGUACUAAUACCGGAUAUUUUUGCAUUGCAUAAGCAGUGUAAGCAAAGGUGGCCUCUGACAUAAGCUACUGCAUAAAGAGGGGUCUGCGUACCAUUAGCUAGUAGGUGGGGUAAAGGCCUACCUAGGCUACGAUGGUUAGCGGGUCUGAGAGGAUGAUCCGCCACACUGGCACUGGAACACGGGCCAGACUCCUACGGGAGGCAGCAGUGAGGAAUAUUGCGCAAUGGGGGCAACCCUGACGCAGCGACGCCGCGUGAGUGAAGGAAGGCCUUCGGGUCGUAAAGCUCUGUCAAAGGGAAAGAAGUGCAUGGUGGUUAAUACCUGCCAUGUUUGACGGUACCCUUAAAGGAAGCACCGGCUAACUCCGUGCCAGCAGCAGC
This 500-nucleotide ribosomal RNA is filed under the name uncultured bacterium. RNAcentral's name for it is "bacterial SSU rRNA". It matches the Rfam family "Bacterial small subunit ribosomal RNA", at positions 40 to 518 of the family's 1533-position model. The record is from RNAcentral.